GAUCCUGGCUCAGGAUGAACGCUAGCUACAGGCUUAACACAUGCAAGUCGGAGGGGCAGCAUGGUCUUAGCUUGCUAAGACUGAUGGCGACCGGCGCACGGAUGAGUAACACGUAUCCAACCUGCCGUCUACUCUUGGACAGCCUUCUGAAAGGAAGAUUAAUACAAGAUGGCAUCAUGAGUCCGCAUGUUCACAUGAUUAAAGGUAUUCCGGUGGACGAG
This 221-nucleotide ribosomal RNA is filed under the name uncultured bacterium. RNAcentral describes it as "partial 16S ribosomal RNA". It matches the Rfam family "Bacterial small subunit ribosomal RNA", at positions 15 to 226 of the family's 1533-position model. The record is from RNAcentral.